CAGUCGAGCGGAACGAAGAGGAGCUUGCUCCUUUGGCGUCGAGCGGCGGACGGGUGAGUAAUGCUUGGGAAUGUGCCUUAUGGUGGGGGACAACAGUUGGAAACGACUGCUAAUACCGCAUAAUGUCUUCGGACCAAAGUGGGGGACCUUCGGGCCUCACGCCAUAAGAUCAGCCCAAGUGGGAUUAGCUAGUUGGUAAGGUAAUGGCUUACCAAGGCGACGAUCCCUAGCUGGUUUGAGAGGAUGAUCAGCCACACUGGGACUGAGACACGGCCCAGACUCCUACGGGAGGCAGCAGUGGGGAAUAUUGCACAAUGGGCGCAAGCCUGAUGCAGCCAUGCCGCGUGUGUGAAGAAGGCCUUCGGGUUGUAAAGCACUUUCAGUAAGGAGGAAAGGUUAAGUGUUAAUAGCACUUAGCUGUGACGUUACUUACAGAAGAAGCACCGGCUAACUCCGUGCCAGCAGC
RNAcentral lists this ribosomal RNA (466 nucleotides) under bacterium 2611-S5-05B-1.1. RNAcentral's name for it is "bacterial SSU rRNA". It matches the Rfam family "Bacterial small subunit ribosomal RNA", at positions 59 to 515 of the family's 1533-position model. The record is from RNAcentral.